This 572-nucleotide ribosomal RNA is filed under the name uncultured bacterium. Its description in RNAcentral is "bacterial SSU rRNA". It matches the Rfam family "Bacterial small subunit ribosomal RNA", at positions 338 to 919 of the family's 1533-position model. The record is from RNAcentral.
CCUACGGGAGGCAGCAGUGGGGAAUCUUGCGCAAUGGGCGAAAGCCUGACGCAGCAACGCCGCGUGCGGGAAGAAGGCUUUCGGGCUGUAAACCGCUUUCAGCAGGAACGAAAAUGACGGUACCUGCAGAAGAAGGAGCGGCCAACUAUGUGCCAGCAGCCGCGGUGAUACAUAGGCUUCAAGCGUUGUCCGGAUUUAUUGGGCGUAAAGAGUUCGUAGGCGGUCAAGUAAGUCGGGUGUGAAAAUUCUGGGCUCAACCCAGAGACGCCACCCGAUACUGCUUAACUUGAGUUCGAUAGGGGAGUGGGGAAUUCCUAGUGUAGCGGUGAAAUGCGCAGAUAUUAGGAGGAACACCGGUGGCGAAGGCGCCACUCUGGAUCGAUACUGACGCUGAGGAACGAAAAGCAUGGGUAGCAAACAGGAUUAGAUACCCUGGUAGUCCAUGCCGUAAAACGGUGGGCACUAGGUGUGGGUUUCUAUUAACGAAAAUCCGCGCCGUCGCUAAACGCAUUAAGUGCCCCGCCUGGGGAGUACGGUCGCAAGACUAAAAACUCAAAAGGAAAUUAGAACGG